UUCCAGAUCUGUGUUUCUGCUGGAAGUGGCACCUGUGAGCCUGCAAGGAAUGCUGGGAAUUGGGCUUAUAGGGUCCAAGGUCAAGUGCUUUCAAGGGAGUGGGGUAUCCUGUAUCACUUCCAUAUUCCUCUACCUUCCACUGACCAAAGGAAAUGCUGACAAGAAAUACUCCAAGGCCCUGCCUGCUGGUGCGUUUUGAGGGUGGCGCCACAUCAGCAGGCAAUGCCACCAGACUCUUUUCUGAGCCCUCAGCACAGAUCUGUCUUUGGUACUGGAUGCUGCCACCCAGCAGCGGGCCCUUUCCUACAAGAACUUCUUGAACUGACAUAUACUGAAAAGCUGACAGCGACCCUGAAUUAUGGACGCACACUUUCUGUGUAUGGAGGCAGAGAGGAGCGAGCAUGUUACCUUCCCCCAGGGAUUGGUCCUGAACAACAAUCCAAGGGGAACCAAACCGAUACUCAAGCUAUAACCCUCAAUUAAAAAAAAAUUCAAAAAGAUUAAAAAAAAAACUU
This is a long non-coding RNA of Mus musculus (house mouse), 515 nucleotides long. RefSeq annotates it as predicted gene, 31854. The transcript has 3 exons. NCBI's taxonomy places the organism in Eukaryota, Metazoa, Chordata, Mammalia, Rodentia, Muridae. The record is from RefSeq and is a predicted model, not a curated record.